GACGAACGCUGGCGGCGUGCCUAAUACAUGCAAGUAGAACGCUGAAGAGAGGAGCUUGCUCUUCUUGGAUGAGUUGCGAACGGGUGAGUAACGCGUAGGUAACCUGCCUUGUAGCGGGGGAUAACUAUUGGAAACGAUAGCUAAUACCGCAUAACAAUGGAUGACACAUGUCAUUUAUUUGAAAGGGGCAAUUGUUCCACUACAAGAUGGACCUGCGUUGUAUUAGCUAGUAGGUGAGGUAAUGGCUCACCUAGGCGACGAUACAUAGCCGACCUGAGAGGGUGAUCGGCCACACUGGGACGGAGACACGGCCCAGACUCCUACGGGAGGCAGCAGUAGGGAAUCUUCGGCAAUGGGGGCAACCCUGACCGAGCAACGCCGCGUGAGUGAAGAAGGGUUUCGGAUCGUAAAGCUCUGUUGUAAGUCAAGAACGGGUGUGAGAGUGGAAAGUUCACACUGUGACGGUAGCUUACCAGAAAGGGACGGCUAACUACGUG
This 497-nucleotide ribosomal RNA is filed under the name uncultured bacterium. Its description in RNAcentral is "partial 16S ribosomal RNA". It matches the Rfam family "Bacterial small subunit ribosomal RNA", at positions 28 to 507 of the family's 1533-position model. The record is from RNAcentral.